Molecule: long non-coding RNA, 182 nt
Organism: Octopus sinensis (East Asian common octopus)
Lineage: Eukaryota; Metazoa; Mollusca; Cephalopoda; Octopoda; Octopodidae
Exons: 3
Source: RefSeq, a predicted model, not a curated record
UGUAUGUAUGUAUAGAUGUGCAGAUUUGUAUAUUUUGUUUUAUGUAUGUAUUCUCAUGCAUAUAGCUGCAUAUCUAGACUUGUGCAUAUACACUUAAAUGGUGAACUUCUGGAAAUUUUAACAGGUUUUUACAGUUCUAGUGAUGGAUUGGUUCUGUAGUUUUCAAAUCAGCUUUCUCCUUU